RNAcentral lists this ribosomal RNA (410 nucleotides) under uncultured microorganism. RNAcentral describes it as "bacterial SSU rRNA". It matches the Rfam family "Bacterial small subunit ribosomal RNA", at positions 509 to 917 of the family's 1533-position model. The record is from RNAcentral.
CAGCAGCCGCGGUAAUACGUAGGGGGCGAGCGUUGUCCGGAAUUAUUGGGCGUAAAGCGCGCGCAGGCGGUCCUUUAAGUCUGAUGUGAAAGCCCACGGCUCAACCGUGGAGGGUCAUUGGAAACUGGGGGACUUGAGUGCAGGAGAGGAGAGCGGAAUUCCACGUGUAGCGGUGAAAUGCGUAGGGAUGUGGAGGAACACCAGUGGCGAAGGCGGCUCUCUGGCCUGUAACUGACGCUGAGGCGCGAAAGCGUGGGGAGCAAACAGGAUUAGAUACCCUGGUAGUCCACGCCGUAAACGAUGAGUGCUAAGUGUUAGAGGGGUCACACCCUUUAGUGCUGCAGCUAACGCGAUAAGCACUCCGCCUGGGGAGUACGGCCGCAAGGCUGAAACUUAAAGGAAUUGGCGGG